CGGAAUUAUUGGGCGUAAAGGGCUCCCAUUGAGUUCGUCGCGUCCGGUGUGAAAGUCCAUCGCUUAACGGUGGAUCCGCGCCGGGUACGGGCGGGCUUGAGUGCGGUAGGGGAGACUGGAAUUCCCGGUGUAACGGUGGAAUGUGUAGAUAUCGGGAAGAACACCAAUGGCGAAGGCAGGUCUCUGGGCCGUUACUGACGCUGAGGAGCGAAAGCGUGGGGAGCGAACAGGAUUAGAUACCCUGGUAGUCCACGCCGUAAACGGUGGAUGCUGGAUGUGGGGCCCGUUCCACGGGUUCCGUGUCGGAGCUAACGCGUUAAGCAUCCCGCCUGGGGAGUACGGCCGCAAGGCUAAAACUCAAAGAAAUUGACGGGGGCCCGCACAAGCGGCGGAGCAUGCGGAUUAAUUCGAUGCAACGCGAAGAACCUUACCUGGGCUUGACAUGUUCCCGACGGUCGUAGAGAUACGGCUUCCCUUCGGGGCGGGUUCACAGGUGGUGCAUGGUCGUCGUCAGCUCGUGUCGUGAGAUGUUGGGUUAAGUCCCGCAACGAGCGCAACCCUCGCCCCGUGUUGCCAGCGGAUUAUGCCGGGAACUCACGGGGGACCGCCGGGGUUAACUCGGAGGAAGGUGGGGAUGACGUCAGAUCAUCAUGCCCCUUACGUCCAGGGCUUCACGCAUGCUACAAUGGCCGGUANCACGGGAUGCGACGNCGCGAACGCGAGCGGAUCCCNNUGAAACGGUCUCAGUUCGGAUCGCAGUCUGCNACUCGACUGCGUGAAGGCGGAGUCGCUAGUAAUCGCGAAUCAGNCACGUCGCGGUGAAUGCGUUCCCCGGGCUUGUACACACCGCCCGUCAGUCAUGAAAGUGGGCAGCACCGAAGCCGGUGGCUAACCCCUGUGGGAUGAGGCGUCUAAGUGAGCUCGUGAUGGGACUAGUCGUAC
RNAcentral lists this ribosomal RNA (942 nucleotides) under human gut metagenome. RNAcentral's name for it is "bacterial SSU rRNA". It matches the Rfam family "Bacterial small subunit ribosomal RNA", at positions 546 to 1491 of the family's 1533-position model. The record is from RNAcentral.